AUACGUAGGGCGCAAGCGUUGUCCGGAAUUAUUGGGCGUAAAGAGCUCGUAGGCGGCUUGUCACGUCGGUUGUGAAAGCCCGGGGCUUAACCCCGGGUCUGCAGUCGAUACGGGCAGGCUAGAGUUCGGUAGGGGAGAUCGGAAUUCCUGGUGUAGCGGUGAAAUGCGCAGAUAUCAGGAGGAACACCGGUGGCGAAGGCGGAUCUCUGGGCCGAUACUGACGCUGAGGAGCGAAAGCGUGGGGAGC
This 247-nucleotide ribosomal RNA is filed under the name uncultured bacterium. Its description in RNAcentral is "partial 16S ribosomal RNA". It matches the Rfam family "Bacterial small subunit ribosomal RNA", at positions 523 to 769 of the family's 1533-position model. The record is from RNAcentral.